UACGUAGGUGGCAAGCGUUAUCCGGAAUUAUUGGGCGUAAAGAGCGCGUAGGUGGUUAAUUAAGUCUGAUGUGAAAGCCCACGGCUUAACCGUGGAGGGUCAUUGGAAACUGGUUGACUUGAGUGCAGAAGAGGGAAGUGGAAUUCCAUGUGUAGCGGUGAAAUGCGUAGAGAUAUGGAGGAACACCAGUGGCGAAGGCAGGUCUCUGGGCCGUUACUGACGCUGAGGAGCGAAAGCGUGGGGAGCGAACAGG
This 253-nucleotide ribosomal RNA is filed under the name uncultured Eubacteriales bacterium. RNAcentral's name for it is "uncultured Clostridiales bacterium partial 16S ribosomal RNA". It matches the Rfam family "Bacterial small subunit ribosomal RNA", at positions 524 to 776 of the family's 1533-position model. The record is from RNAcentral. Lineage: Bacteria; Bacillati; Bacillota; Clostridia; Eubacteriales.